AUGAUUAAAAGGGAGCUUUGCACCRCUGGCUGCUCCCAGCCCGGCAGGCUGGGCCAGGUGAGCAGCCCCCGCCCCGGCACGGCGGCCCAGGGCCCCCAGGACUGCGGCAUGGCACGGUGCAGCACGGCACAGUGCGGCACAGUGCAGCACGGUAUGGCACGGCACGGUGCAGCAUGGCGGAGCAUGGCAUGGCACAGCACGGCGCGGCACGGCAUGGCACGGUGCGGCACAGUGCAGCAUGGUGCAGCAUGGCGUGGCACAGCACGGCAUGGCGCGGCACUGCACGGUGCAGCAUGGCACGGUGCAGCACGGCAUGACACGGUGCAGCACAGUGCAGCAGACACGGCACGGCGCGGCACGGCACGGCGCGGCACGGUGCGGCACAGCAGUGCUGCCUGCCCUCCCUGUCUGCUGGCGCUAAGGGACGGAGGGAAGAGACAGGCCGAGACGGGGGCCCGUCCCUUGCUCCGGGGCGCGUGGGGCCCCGCUCACGGGGUCAGUGAGCGCGUGCGCGGCCGGCACUCGCAGAGCGGUCUGAGCUCCACGGGGCCCGUCCGUGCCACCCCCGGCUCCGGCAGCAGCCUGCAUCGGACGCACCCUGCGCCAGCACUCCCUCCGGUGCUGCGGCGGCCCCCUCCCGUGCUCGCGCUGCACCGCCGGUGGGCACCGGGCCCCCCCUGCCUCCCCGCACCGCCCUCGCACCGCAGAGCUCGGCCUCCCCUCCCCGAGCCGCGGUGCCCCCCUCGUCCCGCUCGGUCYGCGCCAAGCUCCGACGGGGCCGGGAGCCUCAUGGGGGACCCUUGCCAUCGUGCUGCUGCGGCUGCGCUGGGGGAUCCGGCCGGGGCGCCGCAGGUCUGGGGUCGCUCCGAGCCACCAGCCCCCGUGCUGGGCCCCCCGGCGCCGACCCCGCCGCGCUCACCCCCGUCCACCGGUGCUCCUGCGGCCGGCUGCGCGCACAGGGCGAGGACGCCCACCAGCAAGACGCCCGCGGUCCUCAUGGCGCUGCCGGAGGAUGCUGCACUGCCGGCGUGGCGCGGCGGUGGCGUUUAUAUCCCCGCGGGCCGGGGAGGGGCCGCCGCGCGCCGGCCUUCGGGUGCCGAACGCGGCGCGGCAGGUCACAGCCCUGCCCGAGGCGGCCGCGGCCCCACGACGUGCGGUUGCCUGAGAAAUCAUUGA
Molecule: long non-coding RNA, 1176 nt
Filed under: Apteryx haastii (Great spotted kiwi)
Lineage: Eukaryota; Metazoa; Chordata; Aves; Apterygiformes; Apterygidae
Description: lncRNA (ENSAHAG00000016681.1)
Source: RNAcentral